AAUAUAUCCGGCCUGCGGUCAAUUAGCCAGAAUGCUCCAAACAGCAGAAAACCCGCCGACUUUAACACUUUCACUCGCCAUAAAAAAAACAAAACGAACCCCUCAAUUUCCCCUGUACUGUCUCGUCUCCGGCGAAAUUCUCAGGGUUGGUGAGAUAGAAUGGAAUCAAGGACUAGAAAGAGGUCAUCGCUGAACAACAAUGAAGACAGGAUCAGCACGCUACCAAAUGUACUUCUCCAUCACAUUUUAUCUUUUUUGGACGCAGUGCAGGUUGUUCAAACCUGUGUUUUGUCCAAAAGAUGGAUGAAUGUGUGGAAAUCUCAUCCCUAUCUUGACUUCAAUUUUGAGACUUUUUCAUCCUUAAUAAGUUCAUAUUAUUAUGACGAUGACAUGAACAAUUUCACUGAUUUUAUCAGUCAUGUUUUAGUACGUCGUAAUAACGUCAAGGCUUUUAAGCUUUCCUUAGAUACACGUCGUGAUUGUCAGUAUAGUGUGGUAGAAUCUCUGAUAUAUUAUGCAGUUAAACAUCACGUGGAAGAGAUAUCUAUAAAUACUGCUCAUUGGGAUGUCCCAAUUGUGUUGCCUCGUUGUUUCUUUGACUGUGAAUCAUUGAGAAGCCUGAAAUUGAAAGUAGACGGUGGCCUAGCUUUGCCAAAAUCAUUGGGGUUGCAGUCUCUGAAGACAUUGCAUCUUGGUGGGGCUCAGAAUUUUGAUGGGAAGAUUUUCUCAAGUUGCCCGAAUCUUGAAAAUCUGACAAUUGAAGAUAUAUGCUUAAACGUGAUUGAAAACUUCAAUAUUCAUGCUCUUAGUCUGAAAAGCUUGGAAAUUUUGAAUUGGAGAUAUAAUAGAAUUAAGCAGGGGUGCAAAGUUAUGUUAGUUGCUCCUAAGCUUACCAGUUUCAAGUUUGAUGGGAACACUCCUCUAUUUUGGUCUGAAGUGAAUCUUACCUCUUUGGAUGAUGUAAAUGUAGUCUUGCAGAGAUACUAUCACAAUCAUUACUAUCCAUUCUAUGUAGUUGAAGAUGAAUACAUUUCAGAAGAAGAAGAAACCGAGCAGGGGCUUGGUCUCAAUCUCAUCAAGAUGCUUCAUCAGUUCUGCAGUGCAAAAUCUUUGACAUUAUCCAUGAAUAUCAUUGAGGUUCUCUCAAAGGUUCCGGCUGCUCUAAAUAAACAUCCUUCUCCGUUUUCUAAUUUGAAGUAUCUGAAGUUGAAAACUGACCACAAGGAUGUCACUCUACCUGCCCAUGUCUUGAAUUACUUUCUUAGAAGCUCUUCUUUGCUGAAAGUAUGCUUCUAAUAUCUCCCAAGGUAAUCGAACAUCUCCUUCUACAUUCAAAGUUACUGUUGAUGCCACAUAAAUAAUAACUGCUUCAGUCUCACUCUAACAUGCCUUGUAAUUUCGUGGGCACAAAGCUGUGAAGCUAUAUGAAGGCAGUUCUUUCCAUUACCAUACGCAUGUGAAUGUCUUUCAAGUGCUUAGGUACUCCUUUGGGGCUUGUAAUCAUCAUUUUAAUCGAUCGUGGCUUGAUCCUUAUAGCAUACAGCAAUGCCAUAUAAGAUGUUCCUUUUCCCGCUAACAUUGCGUAGCUAAUCCAAUAUAUUGAGCAACUCUGAUUGAACUCAGCUGUGUAGCUAUGAUUGAACUCAGAAGUUUGCCAGAAACUUGCUCAGAAAGAACCAUGCAUACGAUGAUAUCAUUUUUUUUUAUUGUUGUUUUGCUGCAUUCUUUUACAUUUCAGUUUAUUUAUUUUUCUUUUACCAUUUACUUUCUUUUUACUUGACAUUUCCUAAAACAAUGUAUCUUUUAAAAUAAUAUAUCUUUCUUAAGCAUAGAAUAUUAGACACUUACAUUUCA
Populus trichocarpa (black cottonwood) is the source of this 1854-nucleotide RNA transcript. It is a transcript of the gene named F-box/LRR-repeat protein At3g26922, with no coding region annotated. The record is from RefSeq and is a predicted model, not a curated record. The transcript is spliced from 4 exons. NCBI's taxonomy places the organism in Eukaryota, Viridiplantae, Streptophyta, Magnoliopsida, Malpighiales, Salicaceae.